Long non-coding RNA from Passer montanus (Eurasian tree sparrow), 781 nucleotides. RefSeq lists it as uncharacterized. The transcript is spliced from 3 exons. Lineage: Eukaryota; Metazoa; Chordata; Aves; Passeriformes; Passeridae. The record is from RefSeq and is a predicted model, not a curated record.
AGAGAGAUCUCGCUGCACAACGGGGCCAGGGGUCACACAGCAGUCAGAAAGGGCACCGUGGAAAGCCCAUCUCAGCCGAGUGACCGUGGUCUGACAUCACCCCUCACAUCAGAGAAAUCCCAGUUUCGAGGGCUAAGAGCUCACAUCACUGAACUGCAUCAUUUAAGGUCCCAGGCACAUCCCUCUCUCACCACACUGUAAAACUGGCCCCUGUUUUGCAUGGGCAGGACCCGGCCCAGUGCCCCACUCACUCUCAGAGCUGCCACAACUCUGCCCCCCAGAACUGUCCCAGGUGCCCUCCAGAGUGCCCCAACUCUGCCUCCACAGCUGACCCACUGCCCUGGUUCACUCUCCAGAGCUGACCAGCCCUUCCUCAUCCCUUGGCUCCACCGUGGCCACUGGAGGACUGGGAAAGGCAGGAUCUACAGCCUGGGAACUGCUCACACUUCCACUUCAGAGAGAACACUGAAGAGUGGGAAAGGAAGGAGAAGAAUGGUACCUUCAGCCUGAAGCCGUCCAGCCGGACGUCCAUGUGCUCAUCCCGCUUGCCUGAGUCCUCCAGCUUGUAGAUGGCUUUGAACUGCUCCAGGCUGCGACACAGAUCCAGGCAGAAGAGGUUUAUCCAGAGCACACUCGGUGUGUCCAGGCAGUGCCAUUGCCACGUGCUGAGGUCCCUACCUGGUGCACAUCCAGGUCAUCCACCCUGACCAGCAGGCAGCUGGAGCGCAGCCGCUGCCAGGGCGGGUGCCGCAGCCGCGGGAGACUCGUGGGGGGAGCCCGG